CUGUCACUAUCUCUAUGUCAUACAAUCUCUCGGUAGUUCUCUUGUUUGAUUUAGCACCUCCAUAUCACUUUGUCCCCACCUCCUUGGCUUGCUCCCUCCAUGCAGUGUGUCUGUAUAAAAGGCCCUGCCUCCCGCUCUGCUGUUACUCUCACUCAAGUGGCCGGUCACACACUCGCUCUGCGGACCAGCUACAGCUCUGUCAGUCUCCGAGUGGAUUAUUACUGUCACUGCAGCAAGCAGCGAUCCAAAAGGAUCUAUAUUUUGUCUGUCAGACUGACAACUGCACUUAAUCACAGUAUGAAGCAUAGAUGGCUGCUUCUGUCUCUGCCUCACCUGCCCACCAUCACUGAGACCCUGGAAGACUCUGAUACCCUGGGGGCCACGGGCCACCUAGCCCAUCCUGCCCAGUCUGUUUCCCAGUCUCCAUCCCAG
This is a long non-coding RNA of Oncorhynchus tshawytscha (Chinook salmon), 432 nucleotides long. Lineage: Eukaryota; Metazoa; Chordata; Actinopteri; Salmoniformes; Salmonidae. The record is from Ensembl.